UAAUUUUCUGUAUUUUUUAUCUAGUAUUUUAUGCGCGCGACGUCCGCACGCAACGGCAACGCGUUAAGAACUGACGGCUGCUUGUCGCUCGCUUCGGCUGCUGCAGCCUGUUGUUACCGAAAGGAUCGAUAAUUGUAUUGUGCGCAAUUGGCAUCGAUAGUCGAUGUUAUCGCUGCAGCUUAGUAUGCAGCUUUUUGAGAAGUGAUUUACAUGACGUAAAAUAGGAAAACGGCAAGGACACAAAUAUAUAUAUUUUAUAAUAGUGAAAUUAUAUUUAUACGAUUUCAGCGCUGUUCCAUAUUUGCGACAAAUUGGAAGGUGUUCCUUUUAAAUUAACAGCUUAUCAAACAGAUGGAGUGUUAUUCCUGCAGUGUUGCCAACUAUCAUUUCAAAAAAAGUAUCCCAUAUCGAUGCUAGCUGAAUCUCGGCUCUGCGAGUUGCCAAUUCGCGCUUAGAAAACAAAUUGGCAAUAAACAGGCUUGAGAUGCAAUUAAAUCGCAAUUUAACUAAAAAAUAGUUGAAUUGGCAACGCUACAUCUUGCAAGAGCUUCGAUAUCUCACUGAUAAAUGCCGCAUGCAGCUCUGUUUAUAUGCAAAGUGCGUGCGUGUGCGUGAGCGUGUGCAUACGUGUGGGUGGUUGACGAUGGACAGCGGGCGGCUGACACACGCCAGGGGCACGGGUAAGGGUAAAAUACCUGCGCACCGUACCAAACACAACAAUAACGCUGCAUAUUGGCCGGGGCCAUAAAAAUGAAAGAUAACCGUAAUUAUGUCUGCACAGUAGCCAAAAACAACGGGAGAAAGCAGCGCUGACCUUCAGGGCCGGAAUAUGCACACGCACACACACACACGCAUAGACUAGUGUGCAUGCGGACAAAGCGCGUCAAAGGCUCGCAAAAAUAAAAACAACAAAGCAUAUAUGGAAACACACACACACUUGCGAAUCAGAACCGCUUUUUAUAAAUCAUUACUGCAGUGUUGUGCACAUAUUAUUGUGUAUAUUUUUUUACAUAUAAUAAACAAUUGUUAACUUA
Long non-coding RNA from Drosophila montana, 1034 nucleotides. RefSeq lists it as uncharacterized. The record is from RefSeq and is a predicted model, not a curated record. The transcript is spliced from 2 exons. Lineage: Eukaryota; Metazoa; Arthropoda; Insecta; Diptera; Drosophilidae.